RNAcentral lists this ribosomal RNA (253 nucleotides) under uncultured bacterium. RNAcentral's name for it is "partial 16S ribosomal RNA". It matches the Rfam family "Bacterial small subunit ribosomal RNA", at positions 524 to 776 of the family's 1533-position model. The record is from RNAcentral.
UACGUAGGGUGCGAGCGUUGUCCGGAUUUACUGGGCGUAAAGGGCGCGUAGGCGGCUUGACAAGUCACUUGUGAAAUCUCCGGGCUUAACUCGGAACGGCCAAGUGAAACUGUCAUGCUAGAGUGCAGAAGGGGCAAUCGGAAUUCUUGGUGUAGCGGUGAAAUGCGUAGAUAUCAAGAGGAACACCUGAGGUGAAGACGGGUUGCUGGGCUGACACUGACGCUGAGGCGCGAAAGCCAGGGGAGCAAACGGG